GGUGAACGCUGGCGGCGUGCCUAAUACAUGCAAGUCGAGCGAACGGACGAGAAGCUUGCUUCUCUGAUGUUAGCGGCGGACGGGUGAGUAACACGUGGAUAACCUCCCUAUAAGACUGGGAUAACUUCGGGAAACCGUAGCUAAUACCGGAUAAUAUUUUGAACCGCAUGGUUCAAAAGUGAAAGACGGUCUUGCUGUCACUUAUAGAUGGAUCCGCGCUGCAUUAGCUAGUUGGUAAGGUAACGGCUUACCAAGGCAACGAUGCAUAGCCGACCUGAGAGGGUGAUCGGCCACACUGGAACUGAGACACGGUCCAGACUCCUACGGGAGGCAGCAGUAGGGAAUCUUCCGCAAUGGGCGAAAGCCUGACGGAGCAACGCCGCGUGAGUGAUGAAGGUCUUCGGAUCGUAAAACUCUGUUAUUAGGGAAGAACAUAUGUGUAAGUAACUGUGCACAUCUUGACGGUACCUAAUCAGAAAGCCACGGCUAACUACGUG
RNAcentral lists this ribosomal RNA (497 nucleotides) under uncultured bacterium. RNAcentral's name for it is "partial 16S ribosomal RNA". It matches the Rfam family "Bacterial small subunit ribosomal RNA", at positions 28 to 507 of the family's 1533-position model. The record is from RNAcentral.